Molecule: ribosomal RNA, 357 nt
Filed under: uncultured rumen bacterium
Lineage: Bacteria
Description: partial 16S ribosomal RNA
Source: RNAcentral
UAUUCCCCACUGCUGCCUCCCGUAGGAGUCUGGGCCGUGUCUCAGUCCCAAUGUGGCCGUCCGCCCUCUCAGGCCGGCUAUUGAUCGUCGCUUUGGUGGGCCGUUACCCCGCCAACUGGCUAAUCAAACGCGGAUCCAUCCUGUACCGAUAAAUCUUUUGCCUCAGGAGGAUGCCCUCCCGUGGUCUCAUGCGGUAUUACCAGCCGUUUCCAGCUGCUAUCCCCCAGUACAGUGCAGGUUCUCCACGCGUUACUCACCCGUCCGCCACUAUGUAAUGAAAUCAGUCCGAAAACUUCAAUCAUUACACCGUUCGACUUGCAUGUGUUAGGCACGCCGCCAGCGUUCAUCCUGAGCCAA